AGAAGAGUUAAUUGAAAGCAAGAAGAUGGCAGGAAGAACUGUGCUGUGGGUGGGACCUCUGGGAACUGGAAAGGUCCUUGUGUUCUCAUUGAUUUCUGCUGCCCAAGAGGACAAUCCUCACGUAGAAGCCAAAUGGAAUAUACAUCUUAACUAGUCUUUGUUUAGCGACAUGGGUCACAUGUGUGUUUAAGAAAGGAAUCUGAUCCCAAACUCAUGAUUCUAAAAUGAAAAUCAUCCUGGCCAGAGGGGGAGGAAAGUCCUCUGAGGGGUCUGGUCGCUGGGAUGGUCCUUGAGCUCUUUCAAGUCUUCUUUGCUUGGGAAAUGCAUCUCUUUUUCUUUUCUUUUCUUAUUUUUUAACCAGUGAAUGAACUUGGGGGCACUCAACCACUGAGCCACAUCCAUUUUUUGUAUUUUACUUAGAGCCAGGGUCUCGCUAAAGUUGCUGAGGGCCUUGCUAAGUUGCUGAGGCUGGCCUCCAACUCGUGAUCCUCCUGCCUCAGCCUCCUGAGCAGUAGGAUUAUAGGUUUUCACCACUGUGCCUAGCUGAAAAUCCAUUUCUGUUGGUCCAGGGCCUCCUAAAAUUUUGUGACAGGCUGUGGCUGUGGCUCAGCGGUAGAGCGCUCGCCUUGCACAUGUGGGACCCUGGGUUCGAUCCUCAGCACCACAUAAAAAUAAAGAAGUGAAAUAAAGGUAUUGUGUCCAACUACAACUAAAAAAUAAAUAUUAAAAAAUUAAAACAAAGAUAUUAUGUCCAUGCACAAUUAAAAAAAUAUUAAAAAAUCUUCUGUGGCACAUUAUUGGAGGGGGAAAAAUGAGUCAGACAGUAUUUUUUCGAAUGCGAACUUUGCCCACCACUAUUUUGGCUAGGAGCAUGAUUGACAAAUACCAGAAACGUGCUUUGGAUCUUAAAGGGGAUUCUAGUGUUUUCCAGGCAGAGAAACAGGAAGUCUCCUGAUGGCACAAAAUGGCUCAGUUGAGUGCUGAGCUUAAAACUGCUGACUGAUUUUAUUUAUUUAUUUAUUUUUAGAGAGAGAGAGAGAGAGAGAGAGAGAGAGAGAGAGAUAUGUAUGUGGUGCUUUGGAUUGAACCCGGGCCGCACGCAUGUCAGACAAGCGUGCUACUGCUUGAGCCACAUCCCCAG
RNAcentral lists this long non-coding RNA (1141 nucleotides) under Marmota monax (woodchuck). The stretch from base 596 to 666 matches the Rfam family "tRNA". Lineage: Eukaryota; Metazoa; Chordata; Mammalia; Rodentia; Sciuridae. The record is from RNAcentral.